CAGAACUGUCAACACAUUGAUUUAUUGUUUAUCAUAAUCAGUUCUUCCUGUUCACUGUAUUCCCGAACAGUAUAACCUACUUAUUAAAAAUAAGUGAACUAUACUCAAAACAGUGAAACAGUUCAUUCAACUUAAAACUUUUAAGUUUGUUCAACGAUUUGGCCGUUUUAAGUUCCAGGAACUCAAAUAAAAUAAGUAAAACUUGAUGUCAUCUUAAAUACCAUAGCCUUACUUUUGCCUCUUGGUGGCGUGUAAUGAGCUUUAUUGCGUUCCAAUCUGCCAAUUCAAUAAAGAAGAGUCUCUAGUCUAUUUUUACAGUCUAUGGUCUACACUCAAAAACAUUUUAAAGCCUUUUUAAAAGAUAUACAAAUUUCAAUAGUAAAAUUCCAUCAAUUUGAGUUUAAUGUUCCUUACAUUUUAAUUGAAUUUAUUAAAGAUUGUUCAAUUAUUCAGUUAGAAUAUGUAAGGGUUAUUCAAUUCAAUGGAAUUUUACUAUUAAUUGAAAUGCAUAAAUCUUAAAAAUAAAAUGUUUUAAGUAUUCUCAAUGCAAUAGUGCAUUGAGAAUACUUUAAAACAUACUAGGUAAACUCUCCAAAACAGACUAGUCAACAUGACUAUCAUGCUAUGUCCGUUUAUGUCAUGUUUUACUGAAAUGACUGUAAAAAUAACAACGGAGUAAAACCGAGUAAAACGAAUUACCAUAGCCUUAUUUUUGCAUCUUGGUGGCAGUAAUGAGCUUUAUUGAGUGCCUAUCAAUCUGCCUACGAAAAAGAAGAGUCUACUCGGCGCACUUUUUUAUUUUUAAAAACAUAACAUACCAGGUAAAACUAUCCAAAACACAACAAAGAGUCAACAUAUAAAUGUCAUGUCCGUUUAUUUCAUGGUUUACUCAAAUGACUAAAAAAUAACGGGAGUAAUAAUUCCCAUUUGAAAUCGAGCGCUCAGAUUUGAACUUGGAAGCCCGCCAUGUCAUGCAGGAUUCGUUGCCUCAACGUGGUUCUGGAGAAUCAGUUUCGUUCAUCUUCGUCGUUUCUGUGUUUGCUGCGGUUUGUUUAGUGGCUAUAAUGUGGUAAGUACUUCUUAACUUUUUUAAAAAAAAGUUAUUCAAGUAAUCUGCAUCAGAAUGUGACAGAAAAGUCAUCCAACUGAACGUUACUAAAAUGAUUAGGCCUGCAUGUUGCGAUGUUAUUUGUGGAUUGAUUUAACUAAAUUUAAACAAUUAAGGGACAGAGUUGAUUUAUGUACGCAAUUGCAUCGCACGGAUAUUAAUUUGUGGCACUGUUGGUUAUCGCAGUUGCUUUUAUCGAAGCUUUUCGGUUACAGAACCUAAAUUGAAACAGGAAAAAAAAAAAAGAUUUAAUCUUACUUGUUUUUUUAACUGAUGCUUAGAAUUAAAUUAGCUGUAAUCCAAGGUAAAAAAUUUUAAAUUCUGAAAUUGUUGUAUUUGACAUGUCUCUGCCUCACUAUUAAUUUGUGUUUUUAUUUUCUAUACAGGUUCAAACUUGUGAGACCAGAGCAUAUGUGAGUAAAAUUACAAUUUGGAAUUCGGGGGUGAAAAUACAUGACUAAAAGUAUGCAGCAUUUUAAAACUCCAACUGAUUUUAGAGGUUGGCAUAGCUCAUAGUUUUCUCAUGUCUUGUCAUUUUAAAGAUUUGGAUUUGAGUGAUGGAUUGGAAAUGCAGGUUAUGUGAUUCCUCCUCACUUACUCGAGCACAGCUACUUCGGCAUUAUGGUUUGCAACAUAGCCAUUUUUCAAAGCAGAUAAUCUUGCAGCUCACGGAUUGGCAGGCUUUGUACAGUCAUUUCGUUCAGAGUAUGUGUGCAGAUUCUGUCUGGCAACUCAAGACCAGUUUCAAUCGCAUGAUGUGGCUGAGGGUGAAUUCAGUCUGAGAACUAAGGUAACUCAUGAUCUGCAUGUCCAGAAUGUCUCCAGUAGAACUGGGGAAAUUAUUUGUGGUGUGAAAGAGGACUGUGUCUUAAAACAAAAGCUGCAGUAUUUUCAUCCAAUCACUGGUUUCCCCCCGAUAUUCUCCAUGACCUCCUUGAAGGUAUUGUGCCAGUAGAGUUGGCUUUAUGCAUUCAGAAAAUGAUUCGUCUGAAACACUUCACGCUUGAUUAUUUGAACAGGAAAAUUGAAUCAUUCUCAUAUCAGCAUACAGAUAAGGUUGAUAAACCAAAGCCAAUUUCCAAAACUUAUACCACAAAAAUGACAAUAGGUGGUAAUGGUCAUGAAAAUGCUGCAUUACUUCGGCUACUUCCAUUUAUGGUUGGCAAUGUUGUACCAGAGGGAGAUAGUGCAUGGGCAGUGUUAAUGGAAUUGAAAGACAUUGUGGAGUUAGUGCUUUCUCCAACAUUAGGGACCACAGGCAAAUUCUUCUUGAAGUAUUUCCAGAUUUUAAGCUUCGGCCAAAGCAUCACUUCAUUGAACAUUACCCAGAGCUGAUCAGAUGUUUUGGACCUCUUGUACAUUUAUGGACCAUGCGUUUUGAAGGCAAACACCGCUUCUUCAAACGGGUUGUGCAUGAUACACAGAAGUUUAAAAAUGCGCUGAAGACACUGGCAAGCAGACACCAGCAUAUGAUGGGUUACCAUCUAAGUGCGCCAGCGUUCUUCAAACCACAUUUGCAGGCAUCAACUGUGACAUCUGUUUUAGUUUCAACUCUACCUGAAGUGGCAAUACAGUAUAUUAAACAGAAGACUGAUAGUAACACUAUAUACUGUGCAUCUCGAAUCACCAUUGAUGGGACAAAUAUUUCUACUGGGGAAUAUUUUCCUGCUGGUUAUGAAGCAGGGUUACCUCAGUUUUGUAAAACUGAGUCAGUCCUCCUUGUGAACGAUCGUGUGGCCUUCCUAUGCAGGGAGCACAAGUCCCAUUAUAUUGAACACCUAAGAGCUUUUAAUCUGUGUUUAGGUGAUAUAUCUGUUAAAACUAUAACAGAUUUGAGCGACACAUCCCCCCUUUCUGCCUACAGCAUAGAGGGCCAGUUGCUGUUGACGCCAAAGCGAUUUCUGCCUUUACAAUAAGAUGGCAGAAUCACAAAAACUUUUACUGAGAGUUUACAUUGCUCCUGACAUUGCCCACAAGAUGACCCUUUCUACACGACCAAGUACAGUAGAAGAGUUGAUUACAGUGAUCAAAGAGAAAUUCAGACCUCGUCUUGAUUUUGAUUUCAGCCUCCAAUAUGAAGGCCCAGAUUUUUGGGGGCAACUCUGCUUUCUAACACAUUUCAGAACUGCCAGAGAAGGCUGUAUUGAAAGUACACCGAUCUGAGACUGAUGCUGGCUCAGCUGCAACUUCAGACACAGAAAUGCUCACUUAUGCCCCAGGACGCUUGCAGAGUUGGCCUGAUGUGUUCCAAGUUCCUCAAUUUUCAUAUGACGUCGAGCACACCCUAAAUAGUGGAAAUACGGCCUAUCAAAACAGUGGAAAAUUCUUAAAAUUAACAAAAGGCCAAAAACAUGACAUUCUAGAAAAUAUGGCCAAGGCAAUGCACAGCUUUAAGGCUUACCCCAGCGACAAAGUAGCUAAAGCAGCUGAGGCUCUUAUUUCUAAGCAUCCCUGCCUCACAGAACCAGGAAGUCAAUGUGGAUGGUAUGGCUGGAAGACAAGCUUAAAGUUUAAGAUGGGCAACUAUCGUACAAAACUCAGCAGAUCUGGCUGUGAAGAGGUGGCUGUUAACUCGGGGAAGAGAAUCCAAAAUAAUCCAGAGAGUGAGUCUCCCCACUCCAACAUCAAAAGAGCUUGUUGAGCUGAGGUAAACUACCUACCAAAUUUUCCAAAAGGAGAGAGUGCUGAAAGCUUGGAACAACAAAGAUUGCAAAUAGUUGAGGAAGUGUCUAAGACAGAAAGAAGUCUUGGGCUGAUUGUGACGAGUCUCUACUCAUCUUGCUAUGGCGGGCUAGUGGGUGUGGCUAGAAGACUCAUCAAGGGAACGAUGUCCACCUGUUCAUCCCUCUAUAAAAGUUAGGCUGGCUAGUGUAGAUGGGGGGGUCUGUUCUCCGGGUUAUUUUGUGUUUGAUUUGGGCUCGGCUUUUUGUUACCUUGAUGAGUCUUCUAGCCACACCCACUAGCCCGCCAUAGCAAGAUGAGUAGAGACUCGUCACAUGAUAGAGAAACUCAUGCAAAGUACAUUUGCGCUGCGUCGCAAACAGAUCGUUGUAGAUAACCCAUCACAACCAGUGAAGGACUUUUUGGAAAAGUGGCCUGCACUUCGUUUGGAAUCUCAGAUUGCUGCAGAAUUCCACAGAAUUACUAAUAUCAGCUUGAAAAACAAGUUCUAUGCAGAACUGGACAACCAUACUCCUCGACUGAUUGCUGUUUACAGGCAGAAGGCUGCCCGUACUGGCAAAGCAGCAGAAGCACUGAGAAGCAUCUUUAGUGCCUUUGAUCUUGUGGAUCACUACGAUAUUGACAAUAGACGUACAGCUGCACUUCGAGCCCUCCCUGUCUACUUGCGCGAAGAUGACUCUGUGUUUUUCAAGAUGUGGAAUACUUAAGAGGUGGAUGAGCCAGACAUUGCAGAUUCAGCUGUAGCUCUUGUCAGCAUGGUGAAUGGAGACUUGACUUCCACUGUUCAGUUUGACCCUGCUCGGAUUGCUAUUGUGCUGGAAGGUGACAUUGUUCUAAGGGACAUUUCCAGGUUGGCUGAUGCUUUUCUUUUGAUGUUUGGUUUGAUAUAUGCAUUACAUCUCAACUACCCCAAAGAGCUGACACACACAUUUAACUUCAUCCAAAAAGUCUUACUGGGCUUGGAUGACUCAAAGCCACUAACACCCAGAUUGCUGAGUCUAAAAAAUGAGCUACUAAUUAAGGAGUAUGAGGAAUGGAUGUACGAGCUCUGUACAAUAUAUUUUCUGUUCUUUUCAGUUGUUGUGAGUGACUACUGUAGUUGCCCUAUUAAACACUGAGCUCAAGAUUUAUAAUUUCCCAGUGAAGUGGAGAAUUUCAUUUUCAUUUUAGUAUUCAUUGGGAUUGCGUUACUGAAAGCCACUAGCACCCAGAUUACUGCCUAAAUUUUAUUUUUACUGAUUAAGAGAUUUUCUGCAUUUCUGGAUGUACAAGAGACUGUUUAUUGUUUUUUAUUUAGCUUGUUGUGAAUAAUAUUGUUACAGUCUGUUGUAAUACUUAUCUCAAAUUUCUACAUUUUCCAGAACACAGAUUGUGUUCACUUAGUAUUUACUGGGAUUGCGUUACUGAAAGCCACUAGCACCCAGAUUACGGUCUAAAUUUUAUUUUUACUGAUUAAGAGAUUUUCUGCAUUUCUGGAUGCUCAAGAGACUGUUUAUUGUAUUUUAUUUCACUUGUUGUGACUAAUAUUGUUAGUCUAUUGUAAUACUUCUCAAAUUUUGAACACAGAUUUUGUGUUAACUUAGUAUUUACUGGGAUUGCGUUACUGAAAGAUGGCCCAGAUUGCUGUUUAACAAUUUUUUUUUACUUGAUAAAGAGUUUUUCCUGCAUCUCUGGAUGCACUAGUUUUCUACACCUUAUCUGUCCUUUUCAUUUGUUGUGACUAAUAUAGUGACAUUCUAAUGUAUACAGAGGUCUGUUAUAAUGCUGGCAUGAACAGUGUAAAAACUUCUGAAAUGUUUUCUGCAUUAUUAUACAUUUCUAAAAUGUCUAGUUGUGAAUUGUGACACUUUUGUUACAUUUUCAAAAGGUAAUGGCAGUGAGGCAUG
RNA transcript from Xyrauchen texanus (razorback sucker), 5676 nucleotides. RefSeq lists it as uncharacterized. The record is from RefSeq and is a predicted model, not a curated record. The transcript is spliced from 6 exons. Lineage: Eukaryota; Metazoa; Chordata; Actinopteri; Cypriniformes; Catostomidae.